UGACAUGAAUCACAGUUGUUUUCCCUGCCU
Molecule: non-coding RNA, 30 nt
Filed under: Mus musculus (house mouse)
Lineage: Eukaryota; Metazoa; Chordata; Mammalia; Rodentia; Muridae
Source: RNAcentral